This is a non-coding RNA of Pelobates cultripes (western spadefoot toad), 106 nucleotides long. NCBI's taxonomy places the organism in Eukaryota, Metazoa, Chordata, Amphibia, Anura, Pelobatidae. The record is from the annotation of a GenBank genome assembly.
UCGUCCCUGUCUGCCUCCCACACCCUCUGCUGCACUGCACCCCCCGUGUGCCUCCCCACACGGGGGGUGCAGUGCAGCAGAGGGUGUGGGAGGCAGACAGGGACGA